RNAcentral lists this ribosomal RNA (644 nucleotides) under uncultured bacterium. RNAcentral's name for it is "bacterial SSU rRNA". It matches the Rfam family "Bacterial small subunit ribosomal RNA", at positions 202 to 849 of the family's 1533-position model. The record is from RNAcentral.
UAAAGGUAUUCCGGUAGACGAUGGGGAUGCGUUCCAUUAGAUAGUAGGCGGGGUAACGGCCCACCUAGUCUUCGAUGGAUAGGGGUUCUGAGAGGAAGGUCCCCCACAUUGGAACUGAGACACGGUCCAAACUCCUACGGGAGGCAGCAGUGAGGAAUAUUGGUCAAUGGGCGCAGGCCUGAACCAGCCAAGUAGCGUGAAGGAUGACUGCCCUAUGGGUUGUAAACUUCUUUUAUAAAGGAAUAAAGUCGGGUAUGGAUACCCGUUUGCAUGUACUUUAUGAAUAAGGAUCGGCUAACUCCGUGCCAGCAGCCGCGGUAAUACGGAGGAUCCGAGCGUUAUCCGGAUUUAUUGGGUUUAAAGGGAGCGUAGAUGGAUGUUUAAGUCAGUUGUGAAAGUUUGCGGCUCAACCGUAAAAUUGCAGUUGAUACUGGAUAUCUUGAGUGCAGUUGAGGCAGGCGGAAUUCGUGGUGUAGCGGUGAAAUGCUUAGAUAUCACGAAGAACUCCGAUUGCGAAGGCAGCCUGCUAAGCUGCAACUGACAUUGAGGCUCGAAAGUGUGGGUAUCAAACAGGAUUAGAUACCCUGGUAGUCCACACGGUAAACGAUGAAUACUCGCUGUUUGCGAUAUACGGCAAGCGGCCA